GGCAAGUGAUGGUUUUCUUUCUCACGAUGGUCUGCGGAUGCCCAAAGGUGGGCAGUGCCGAUAAUGCCACAGGCUCAACUGAUGCCAGGAG
Onychomys torridus (southern grasshopper mouse) is the source of this 91-nucleotide small nucleolar RNA. RefSeq annotates it as small nucleolar RNA SNORD35. The record is from RefSeq and is a predicted model, not a curated record. NCBI's taxonomy places the organism in Eukaryota, Metazoa, Chordata, Mammalia, Rodentia, Cricetidae. The transcript has a single exon.